AUACGUAGGGGGCGAGCGUUAUCCGGAUUUAUUGGGCGUAAAGCGUGUGUAGGCGGUUUGUUAAGUUUAAGAUUAAAGCCCGAGGCUUAACCUCGGUUCGUCUUAAAAACUGGCAGACUUGAGUGCAGUAGAGGCAAGUGGAAUUUCUAGUGUAGCGGUUAAAUGCGUAGAUAUUAGAAGGAACACCAGUGGCGAAGGCGGCUUGCUGGGCUGUUACGGACGCUGAGACACGAAAGCGUGGGGAGCAAAUAGGAUUAGAUACCCUAGUAGUCCACGCCGUAAACGAUGAAUACUAGGUGUAGGGGGUAUCGACUCCCUCUGUGCCGCAGUUAACACAAUAAGUAUUCCGCCUGGGGAGUACGGCCGCAAGGUUGAAACUCAAAGGAAUUGACGGGG
RNAcentral lists this ribosomal RNA (396 nucleotides) under uncultured bacterium. RNAcentral's name for it is "partial 16S ribosomal RNA". It matches the Rfam family "Bacterial small subunit ribosomal RNA", at positions 523 to 918 of the family's 1533-position model. The record is from RNAcentral.